RNAcentral lists this ribosomal RNA (205 nucleotides) under uncultured bacterium. RNAcentral describes it as "partial 16S ribosomal RNA". It matches the Rfam family "Bacterial small subunit ribosomal RNA", at positions 591 to 793 of the family's 1533-position model. The record is from RNAcentral.
GAUGUCAAAUAUGAUGGCUCAACCAUCAAGAGGCGUUGAAAACUGUUUAUCUAGAAUCUCGGAGAGGUAAGUGGAAGUUCCAUGUGUAGCGGUGGAAUGCGUAGAUAUAUGGAGGAACACCAAUGGCGAAGGCAGCUUACUGGACGAAGAUUGACGCUGAGGUGCGAAAGCGUGGGUAGCAAACAGGAUUAGAUACCCUCGGUAG